CUUUAGCUUAACAAGUAUUAAAGGUCACGCCUGCCCAGUGAAACAUUUUUAAACGGCCGCGGUAUUCUAACCGUGCAAAGGUAGCGUAAUCACUUGUCUUCUAAAUAAAGACCUGUAUGAACGGCUAAAUGAGGACAGACCUGUCUCUUAUAACCAAUCAGUGAAACUGAUCUAUCAGUACAAAAGCUGAUAUAAACGCAUAAGACGAGAAGACCCUGUGGAGCUUAAAACAAACCACUAACCAACAAAUACUAGUGCACUGUCUUAAGUUGGGGCGACUUCGGAACAAAAAAGAACUUCCGAGCAAGGGAUCACCAUCCCCCUCCAAGGCCAACAAGCCAAAGUAUAAACUGACCCGGCCCAUGCCGACCAACGAACCAAGUUACCCCAGGGAUAACAGCGCCAUCUUCUUCAAGAGUCCCUAUCGACAAGAAGGUUUACGACCUCGAUGUUGGAUCAGGACACCCCAGUGGUGCAGCAGCUACUAAAGGUUCGUUUGUUCAACGAUUAACAGUCCUACGUGAUCUGAGUUCAGACCGGAGAAAUCCAGGUCGGUUUCU
This 560-nucleotide ribosomal RNA is filed under the name Eutropis sp. USNM54685. Its description in RNAcentral is "partial 16S ribosomal RNA". It matches the Rfam family "Bacterial large subunit ribosomal RNA", at positions 1820 to 2639 of the family's 2925-position model. The record is from RNAcentral. Lineage: Eukaryota; Metazoa; Chordata; Lepidosauria; Squamata; Scincidae.